GGCCUCUGCCAGCAGAACCCCACUAGUGGGCCAGGCGUGAGCUGUCCUCUGAAAUGCCCAGAGGCCAAAAUGUUCUUUGGAGGAUCUUAUUCAGCUGAACUGCAAUGCUGUCUCCACCUCCCUAGCUGCUGGGAUUAUACAGGCGUGGGCCACCACAUCUGGCUUCAAUGUUGUCAGCCCUGGGUGGCGUCAGGGAUGCCAGGAACAGGAGAACCAGAAGAGGCUGUUGACAUGCUCAGGGAGAGAGCAAGAACUGGUUAAAGCCUCAGACACCAACCAGCCUGUCUGACCACAGAGCCUAAGAUGCGUGAAGACAGAGAUUCGAUCAAAUGUGGCUUCCAGCUGUAUCCUCAGGUCUCAAGACUGACACCCUGUGAAUACUAGCGAAAGAAACAGAUAUCUGGAUGCCACCACUCUUUGGCUCAGUGACUGUCAGUGUCUCCCCGCUGUAGUCAAGUUAUAAAACCUAGGCUUCUUGCUCUGCCCUGGGAGGGAAGUGACUGUCACUCACAGAACAAGCAGGGACACAUUAUGCAGGUCAAAGGGGAUGCUGCAAACCGGUAUCUUAGAACAACAAGAACACAACAGACUUUUCUUUUUCAAACAGGGAGGCAUAGCUGCCACACUUGCCCGAAGCCCAGGGAAUGGUGUCUGUCUUUCUCUCUGGCUUCCUUCUCCGACCCACUCCCUCUCUGAGCCAUCUGCAGUUUCGCCCUUCAACCCAGAGAAGUCCUUUGAGUAGCUGGAGCUAUCUCGUUAUUGUGGCCCCACAUUGAACACUACUUGCCCAAGAGCCCUUCCCUGACCACACAUUCCCACUCAAACCACCUCCAUCUCAAAGUUGUGACUUGUGCCCCACCCCGCCCCCGCCCCCGCCCCCUUGCUCUCAGCUCUGUGUCUGAGAUCCCUUCUUUGGCGCUCAGGCAGGAUGCAUUGAAUUCCCCCAGGCACCUGUCAGCUUCUAGGGAGGUGUUUCUGAGGGUAAACUGACUCUAUCUGGGGAGGUACAGGGAGCAGGGAAGGAAAGACGACUGACUGUGCCUACGAAGUCACCCCAGAAAUCAGAAUUACUUUCUCCUCAGUCCCCCAGUUGUUUCAUCUGAGAGGACUCUGGGGGCCAAGUCUGAAUAAAGAUUACAAACCACCUUCCCC
RNAcentral lists this long non-coding RNA (1152 nucleotides) under Mus spretus (western wild mouse). RNAcentral's name for it is "lncRNA (ENSMSPG00010005672.1)". Lineage: Eukaryota; Metazoa; Chordata; Mammalia; Rodentia; Muridae. The record is from RNAcentral.